This 112-nucleotide microRNA precursor is filed under the name Pelobates cultripes (western spadefoot toad). The record is from RNAcentral. Lineage: Eukaryota; Metazoa; Chordata; Amphibia; Anura; Pelobatidae.
CAAACAUACUCGUUUUCCUGGCACUAUAGUGCCCUGAGGGUGCCCCCACCCUGAGGGUGGGGGCACCCUCAGAGCACUAUAGUGCCAGGAAAACGAGUAUGUUUGGAAAACG